This 106-nucleotide small RNA is filed under the name Marmota monax (woodchuck). Lineage: Eukaryota; Metazoa; Chordata; Mammalia; Rodentia; Sciuridae. The record is from RNAcentral.
GCUAGGCACAGUUGCUCAUGCCUGUAAUCCCAGCAGCUGGGAGGCUGAGGCAGGAGGAUCACAAGUUUGAAGUCUGCCUCAGCAACUUUGGGAAAUCCUGUCUCAA